Molecule: ribosomal RNA, 456 nt
Filed under: Dendropsophus sp. minutus group
Lineage: Eukaryota; Metazoa; Chordata; Amphibia; Anura; Hylidae
Description: partial 16S ribosomal RNA
Rfam family: Bacterial large subunit ribosomal RNA
Source: RNAcentral
CGCCUCUUGAGUCUAUAUAAGAGGUCCAGCCUGCCCAGUGACCAAGUUUAACGGCCGCGGUAUCCUAACCGUGCGAAGGUAGCGUAAUCACUUGUUCUUUAAAUGAGGACUAGUAUGAAUGGCAUCACGAGGGUUAUACUGUCUCCUUUUUCUAAUCAAUGAAACUGAUCCCCCCGUGAAGAAGCGGGGAUAAUUAUAUAAGACGAGAAGACCCUAUGGAGCUUUAAACUAUGUAACACUGGCCUAUAAAACCCCCACGUUUCAGGACUACCACAAAUACCUCAGCCACUUUGAUUACUAGUUUUAGGUUGGGGUGACCACGGAGCAUAAACUAACCUCCACGCUGAAUGGAGCCAUUCCUGAGCCAAAAGCUACAACUUUAAGCACUAAUAAAUUAACUGUAAUUGACCCAAUAUUUUGAUCAACGAACCAAGUUACCCUAGGGAUAACAGCGCA